UGAUCAAUACUUACUUCAACUUGAGCUUGUUGGUAAACAAGUAAUUCCUCAAAUGAUCAAGAAAAAUGCAGAGCAAGGGCGGCCUGUUUCUUGCCUCAUAAACAACCCUUUCAUUCCUUGGGUUACAGAUGUGGCCACAAGUCUAGGUCUCCCUUCUGCAAUGCUUUGGGUUCAAUCCUGCGCUUGUUUUGCCUCAUAUUACCAUUACUAUCACGGUACUGUACCUUUCCCUGAUGAGGAGCACCCCGAGAUAGAUGUCCAAUUACCAUGCAUGCCUCUCCUAAAACAUGAUGAAGUGCCUAGUUUCUUACAUCCUACAACUCCUUAUCUAUCUUGAGGAGGGCUAUUUUAGGUCAGUACAAAAAUCUUGACAAGCCAUUUUGCAUCCUGAUGGAAACAUUCGAAAGCUUGAACCAGAGCUUAUCAAGCACAUGUCCGAAAUCUUCCCCAUCAAGGCCGUUGGGCCACUAUUCAGAAAUCCCAAGGCACCACAGAGACAACGGUCCAUGGAGACUUCUGAAGGCAGAUGAUUGCAUCGAAUGGCUUGACACAAAGUCACCUUCAUCAGUUGUUUAUGUGUCUUUCGGUAGUAUCGUCCAAUUGAAGCAAGAUCAAUGGAACGAGAUCGCUGAUGGGUUAUUGAAUUCGGGCGUCUCCUUCUUGUUAGUUAUGAAACCAGCCCACAAAGGUGCAGGACAUGACCUCCCUGUUCUGCCAGAUGGGUUCUCGAAGAAAGCAGGAGACAGGGGCAGGGUGGUGCAAUGGAGUCCUCAAGAGAAGGUUUUAGCUCACCCAUCAGUUGCGUGCUUUGUAACACAUUGUGGGUGGAACUCUACUAUGGAAGCACUCACAUCAGGCAUGCCAGUGGUGGCUUUCCCUCAAUUGGGUGAUCAAGUAACUAAUGCAAAAUAUCUGGUCGACAUCUUUAAGGUUGGUGUGAGAAUGAGCCGCGGACAAGCAGAGAACAAACUGAUUACUCGUGAUGAGAUAGAGAAAUGCUUGUUGGAGGCCACAGCGGGACCUAAGGCAGUGGAAAUGAAGGAGAAUGCAAUGAAAUGGAAGGAGGCAGCGGAGGCAGCAGUGGCUGAGGGUGGUUCCUCCGACUGGAAUAUACGAUAUUUUACGGACGAUAUUGUAAAAGCGAAUGAGUCUGAGAUUGCUGGGAAGUGCAUUGGUUCUAAUGAGUUUCCAGUGUCGGUACGUAGUGGUGAAGUCCAGCGAGGAAGUGGUUGAACUGGUGGGGUCAUCGGCAUGAGGAGAUUUGCUAUAUAUGCAGUUAAUAUGGAACGGGUUUAAUCCAGUACUGUUAGUAUGAUGAAAUUAAUUACUCUUGUUAUGUAGUUGUCUACUCUUUACUUCUUUUAAUUAGCUAUUAAUAACAUACAGAUGCCAUAAAAAGGCCAUAUGUAUGGUUGUUGUUAAUUUGCAAGUAUCUAAUUAAUAAGAAUUUGAUCUUGGGCUUUGACCUACUCAGUUCUGGUGGCCAACAAUGGCAUUGUUAUAUUUUCCGGCAAGAGUUAAACCAUAAAAUUAGCACGAUUUCUUUUUAGUUAGUCAUGAUCAAAGAUACAGCACACAGAACCUCAACUACACAUUCAUUUAAUUUAAUUAGAAAAGGAGCCUAACCCACCGAGCAGAACGUGUUCCUUCUUCUCAAGCCACGAGACGGUCCUCGUCGCCAUCUCCUCAUGCUGUGACUCGUUCUGGUCAACCUGCUCACCAGCAGCUUUGGCCUAAACUUUGUUAUGCUAACUCUCUGUCUACACUUCCUGUUUUAGACUUUUAGUUGGACUUGAAAUUGAGCAUUUGAUUUCAUCUAAUUUGGUCUGGAUCUGUUACUUCAUGUUUAACCAAGCUUUUAGACAUUUGAAUUAUGGAUGUGCUUUGAAAGUACUGCUGGAGGAUCCGUGGAGAUGUUCCAUUAUGGAUGCUUAGUGAGAUGCAACGAGAAUUAUGAAAUCAUUGCUGAUGAUACAGAAGAUGCAGACAGUACUUUUGUUUUUUCGGAUACUGCUAGCUACUACUACGGUCCUUAAUGACACUACCUGGAAGGAGUUUUCCUGCAUUGAACAAACAAUGGCCUGGUUUUGAUUUUGCUUUUUCCAGCAUUCUUGUGUUUCAUGGUUGAACAAGUAUGCUGCUUCGAUUCUUUGUCUUUCGUAGAUCCUUGGUCUCAGCAUAUUUGUUCUGGUUUUCUUGUAUUUCUAUUAUAAGAUGUUUUAAUACAUUCUAUUGCCUGUCCAAAAACAAUUCUGGCACUGCUCAGUGCUAGUCUCGAAAAAGAAAAAAUAUGAAGCUUUUUAUCGAGCUAAUAAUAAUCGCUACGGUAUUUGAGUUUGGUCAUAGAACCUUCAACAAAUAAUAUUUUUUUCGUUUGGUGAAAAAAAUAAAAUCAAUGCCUCUUUUUUUCUCGUUGAACUAUAGAUCUCGUUCAAUUAAAUCUUUCCAUUGUGUUUACAUUCUUUUCAAUCAGAUCCUUUUUCUAAAUUGGGAAUAAGACUUUCAUCUUCAUUUUAAUUAUUUUUUUAGCCAAAUAGCACCUUAAUGUGUCUAAUUUUUUAACCAUUUAAUUUUAUUUUUUUAGCCAAAAAGCCUGUUAUCUAAUUUUAUUUCAAUAUAUUAGUGUUAGUUAAUGUAUUUAAUGUGCUUUUUCAUAGAGUUUUUAAUCGAAUGAUGGUAUCAUAAGAGCAAUGAAAACAUGUUACUAACACACUUGAUGUUUUGUUAAAAAAAAACCACCAAAAAAAAGUAACAGUACCUCAAAAUUAAACAAAAAAGAAGCUGGAAACAUUAAUUAAUUAAUUAUAUAUACCUGCUAGCUAGAUAGAAGUUUCUAUGUUGUUAUGAUAAAAAUAAUGAAUUAAAAAAUAAUAAUAAAUAAAUAUUAUUUUAAUAUAUUUUCAAAUAAAAAAUAUUUUAAAUAACAAUUAAUAGCUAUCACAUACCACUAAAUUUGAUUUUUCUUAUUAGUGUAACUUGUUUGGGUUGAACAUUAAAAAGAUGUAUAAACUCUAAUCUCAAUAUCAUUUUCUAAAAAUAUGAUAUAGUACGAGCAUAAUACAAUAUUAAUUAUGAAGGCUAAUUAAUUGGUCAAUGGUCAAAGAACUGCAUAUGUAAAUCGUGCGCUCUAAUUGUUGUUGGGUACUGUUUAUUGUAUACUAAUCAUUCUUGUUUAUUGAUAAUCAUCAACAAAACCUAGGGAAAGCUUCGUUUAUAAAUUAAUCAGCAGCAAAGAUCAUCAUGAACGUCAAGCAUAUACAAGUUUCAUUCAAUAGAAACACAAUUAAGCAUAGGAUUAAUCACUUGUGAGCAAGGACGCUGCUGUUUGUUUUUCUUUUUCUCUGUAUUUUCCUUCUGCCUUUCUUUUGCAAUCUACCUUUUUUUAUCAUGGUGGUAGGUCAUAAGUGGGUAUGAGUUGUGUCGGGGUUUGAGUUUUUGAAGAGAGCUAAACGGACACUGCAAAGGAAGGAAAAAAUACCCUUCUUUCCUCCUUGCACGUCAAGAAAGAAAAACACCUAGUUUAAUAUCAUUUUGAGUUUUUUUCAUAAUAAUACAUGAAACAAAUUAUUUUGAACAAAACACGUUGUUUGAUUUAAAAAAAAUGACGUUAAAAUGUGUUAAUUUUCAAAUCAAUCUUAAUUUUUUAUUUGUUAAUCAAGUCUUAAUUAAAUUUUAAUUUUAAAAAUCAACUCAAUUGUAUCCCUGCUAAAAUCAGAUGUCAGUCCUAAAGGUGGCCGUCCUUUUCACUUUGGUAUUUGAUCUUGGAUAUUUAGCAAAUAUUUAAUGAUAUUUGGAAAUAAGAUUUUUAUUUUUUAAAUAUUUAAUUUAAUUUAAUUACCAUAAUAAAAAAAUAAGAUGACAUUUAACAAAUAAGACCUCCAAAAUAAUUUGUAACGGAAAAUCUUUUAAUUCUACAAGCACGGCUAUUACUGUGCAAGCUGUGAUCAUUCUAGCGGCGUGGAAGCCUAAAUUAAAUAACUAUAAUAAAUAUAUAAUAAUUAAUAGCAAGGUUUAGCAACAGAAUGCUCAAACUUUGAGUUUAUAUAUAUAUAGAAAAAGGCCAACAAGUCUUUUUUACUAUAUAAUUAUAAGAAAUUAGAGCUGUUAGAACUCAACAUUCAUCGAAGAAAGCUGGCUUUGCUCUGUUUACUUGGGUUGAGUGUUGAAAUCACACUGAUAAGCGGUUAGUUAACUCCAUUUUUAUAAUGUUGAUAUCAGGCUGCGGAGAUCGCUUGCCGUCCGCCGAGAGUUUGGGACCAGUAGCUAUACUAAUCUCUUUCUGGGUGGUUUUCCCUUGACCGCAUUUGUUUUUUUUUUUUUUUUUUUUGGCGUGGAAUAGAAGGGGCAAUACUUGAGCCCAUCCAGGGAGGGACGCACCUGUCAUGUUAGCAAAAAACAUAAUAAUAAUAAAUACCCCUCCUCCAAUAAUAUUAUUUAUGCAAUAGUUUUUUUUUUAAUUUUAAGUUUAUCAUUAUUUAACCUUAAAUUUAUUAAAAAAUAAUUUUUUUUUAAUUUUUAAUUUAUUUUUUAUGAGAUUAUUCUAGAUCAAUUCCUCACUCUCUAAUUUAAAAAAAUUAUUUAUUUACAUAAUCAAGUGGUAUGUUUUUUUUGAAUUGUUUUGAUUGGUUAAUAAUAAAAAUAAAUAAAUAAAUAUUAUUUUAAUUUAUUUUUAAAAAAUAUACUUUAUAAAAACAAUCUUUAUUACCAUAUCAAGUAUUGAUAAAAUGGAUUACUAUUUUUAAUUUUUUCUUAUUCUGUUUUUUAUGGUGCUGUUGCUGUUCAAAAAAAAAUAAAAAAAGUAUCAAAAUAAUAAGAGUGAGAGUGUGAGACUACUCGACCAAUUAAAAUGAAUAUCUUUUCAACGAAAAUGAUUACCACUUUUAAUUUUUUCUUAUUCUCUUUCUUCAUGAUGAUGAUUAACAAUUUUUCUAACCGGACCGGAGAAAUAUAAGUUGUCUGGAUGUGGGAAAACCGAUGCUAUUAAAAUAAAAUAAAAUUAAAUAAUGCUUAAUAUAUUGAUACUGAUGGAAUAUUCAUGCCUGCAACAGCAGUUAAUUCUCUAAAGCAAAGAAAAUGAGGUGAACUCCCUUUUUCUAUGAAAUUAUGUGUUUAUCAAUCUUUUAUGGCUUAAUCUAAUCCAGUUCUUGGUAUUGUUAUAUAAUCUGAUUUUUAAAAAUAUUUUUUAUUUGAAAAUAUAUUAAAAUUAUUAUUUUAUAUAUAUUUUUAACAUUAAUUUAUCAAAAUUAUUGAAAAAAAAACUUUAAUUUAAUAACGAAAGUAAUAUUUUUCACUGAAAAUAAAUGUCCUUUCUAUGGAGCCCACAAAUUGAAAACGUCUUCACUGUUCACUACCGACGGAAACGGAAACCUCUUUUGCAUGGGUUUCACUUUUCAGCACCAACAUUAAUGGUUUCCCACCAGCAAUCAGUAAUCCAGGAUCACUUUUCCAUCGACAAACAAUAAUUCAGGACCACGUUUCGUUCGUAGCAAAUAAGUUAAAAGUUUGUGACUGCUUUUUUUUAUUAUUAUUAAUACAACACACAUUCAAUUAAUUAAGAUGUUAUUCGAAAUAAAAUAUUGUUAAAAAAAUGUCCUACAUUCUUGAGUUCUGCCUGUAGAUUGAUUCAACCAUUUCUGUUGGAAUAGCUUUUAUUUUUUUAAUUUUAAGAUAUAUCAUUAAUAUUUUUUAUAUGUGUAAUUUUGAUAUAUUAAUAUUAAAAAAAAACUUUGAAAAAACUAUUUUUUUUUGGUGGAUGAGAGUCAAUGAUGUGUUUGAAAAGUAAUGAAUGAGAGCAACAUUUACCAAACUUCGAAGACAUGACAUGAAGGACAACGCAAUUUCAAAAUGUAUUUCUUGACUAAUAUAAAAACAAGUUAAUUUAAGAAUAGGCCGAUAUAGAGUUUAAAUAGAUUCCUGUUAAAAAAAAUAGAAAAGGGAUACUCUAGAAAUUCCAGGUGUUUAUGAAUUAAUUAGUGAUAUUUUAUUAAUUAUUUUUUUAGUGUUUUUUUAAAUAGAUAUAAAUAAUAGAGAAAAAUUCUAGAUGAAUAUAUUUUUUAUCACUUUUGAUAAGUUAUGAGUUUCAUUUUGUUUUUCUUCUUUGUAUCUGUAUUUUUUUUUUAUACGGAUCUGAAAAAUAAUUAAUAGGAUAUUUUUAGUUAUUUAUUGAAUAUUAUGAAUUUUCUAUAAAUAGCUUGAACUAACCUGAUAAAAAAAAUCUGAUUUGAUUUUGAGUAAAUCGAUAAAAAAUCAGUUUUUAAUCUUUUGAUUUUUUUUUCAAAAUAAAACUAUUUUUUUAAAAUGAUCAACCAUUAUUCAUAUUCAUCAUCCGUCACCCACCAUUGAUUUAAUUGGCACUCUCCUACAAUCACAGCCUCAAUACUAGCUAGCAAUACUCAUCUGCAACAAAAUGCGGUGAUUGUAAAGAGAAACUAGUGUUUUUCUUAGUUCUACCUGUCCUUCAAAUUCGGGACUUUAUAUACAAUGUUCACCAACUAAAUUGAAUUGCUCAACCAUUACUCUAUCUGUUCAUUUGCAUGCCCACAGGUUCAUUACCAUAAUUACAAGAUUAUCAUGGGAUGUUUUCAAACUCGAUCGUUGAAGAUAGUCAUGGGAUAUAUGUUACCUUACUUGUGUUGCUUGUAAAUUGUAAUUUUAUGUUUUAGGCAUUAGCCCCGUUGUUCAUGAUAAAAAACAAAAAGAAAAAGAAAGAAAGAGUGGCGAUGGGUAGUAUAGAAUCCAGGAAGCAACCAGACACAAAGAAUCCAGGAAGCAAACAGACACAAAGAAUCCAGGAAGCAUCCAAACCGAUCGUUUUUCGAACUUUUGACGAACUAGAUACAAAACUAAUAUUACAAAGAAUAUUAAGUACUGUAGAGUCAAUCAAAACUGACGAUGUACUUUUUUUCUGUUUAAAAGCGCACCUAGUCUGUAAAUGGAAAGUCAAAUUCAUUAACUCACAAUUUUUUAUUAAUAUUAUUAUACAUCUACAAUCGUUUUUUUUUUUGUUUAAUUCAGUUUUCAUCUGCACAAUUCUCUGCAAUUUGUUCUUGUAUUAUACAGUUAAGUUGCUUUUUUGUCCACUAUAAUGCUUUUCUAAUCUUAUUAAAGAAGAAUAUCCAGAAAUCUUUCAUAGACAACCAGAAAUCAAGGAAUGAAAUGCAGUUGCACAAGUAACUAAUCUUCAUUAUUCAAUCAGUAUAAGUUGUUGGUUACCCGAUGUAUUGGGUUCCUGAGUGUUUUCCAAAGAUUUUCAAACAUGUCUUAACAACUGAUCAUUUCCAUGAUCGGAAAAAGAGAAUAAUAAUCACCCAUUCCCAAACUCAUACAAAAUUGCAAAUAGAUGUGUCAGCCAACUAACAGUCUCUAUAGAUCUAUCUACUACUAAAAACUUUGAAUGUAGCUCCUUAUAAAUGCUAUAUAUAUCUGCAUCCUUUCAUUCCAUGCUCGGCACUCAUUCCCAAAACUCAUUAAGUCCUCUCCAGUACAUCAAUCUCUACUGUCUCUUUGCCUGUCAAAACAAAAAUGCUUUCCAAGUCUCUUGGCCAUCUCUUCCUUGUUUCUUUCCCAGCCCAGGGCCAUGUAAAUCCUUUACAUAGACUUGGAAAAAUUCUUGCCUCCAAAGGCUUCCUUGUCACCUUCUCCACCACUGAAACCUUUGGCAAACAGAUGAGAAAAGCCAGUAGCGCCAUAGAUAAGCUGACCCCGUUUGGUGAUGGCUUUAUCCGGUUUGAAUUCUUUAAAGAUGGAUGGGAAGAGGACGAAGAUAGGUACAAAAACCUUGAUCAAUACUUACUUCAACUUGAGCUUGUUGGUAAACAAGUAAUUCCUCAAAUGAUCAAGAAAAAUGCAGAGCAAGGGCGGCCUGUUUGUUGCCUCAUAAACAACCCUUUCAUUCCUUGGGUUACAGAUGUGGCCACAAGUCUGGGUCUCCCUUCUGCAAUGCUUUGGGUUCAAUCCUGCGCUUGUUUUGCCUCAUAUUACCAUUACUAUCACGGUACUGUACCUUUCCCUGAUGAGGAGCACCCCGAGAUAGAUGUCCAAUUACCAUGCAUGCCUCUCCUAAAACAUGAUGAGGUGCCUGGUUUCGUAAAUCCUACAACUCCUUAUCCUAUCUUGAGGAGGGUUUUUUUAGG
This 8132-nucleotide long non-coding RNA is filed under the name Populus tremula. RNAcentral describes it as "long non-coding RNA (PTRE_LNC002894)". The record is from RNAcentral. Lineage: Eukaryota; Viridiplantae; Streptophyta; Magnoliopsida; Malpighiales; Salicaceae.